This 499-nucleotide ribosomal RNA is filed under the name uncultured bacterium. Its description in RNAcentral is "partial 16S ribosomal RNA". It matches the Rfam family "Bacterial small subunit ribosomal RNA", at positions 28 to 507 of the family's 1533-position model. The record is from RNAcentral.
GACGAACGCUGGCGGCGUGCCUAAUACAUGCAAGUCCAGCGGACUUUCAAGAAGCUUGCUUUUUGAAAGUUAGCGGCGGACGGGUGAGUAACACGUGGGCAACCUGCCUGCAAGACGGGGAUAACUCCGGGAAACCGGGGCUAAUACCGGAUAAUAUCUUCCUUCGCAUGAAGGAAGGUUGAAAGGCGGCGCAAGCUGCCGCUUGCAGAUGGGCCCGCGGCGCAUUAGCUAGUUGGUGAGGUAACGGCUCACCAAGGCGACGAUGCGUAGCCGACCUGAGAGGGUGAUCGGCCACACUGGGACUGAGACACGGCCCAGACUCCUACGGGAGGCAGCAGUAGGGAAUCUUCCGCAAUGGACGAAAGUCUGACGGAGCAACGCCGCGUGAGCGAAGAAGGUCUUCGGAUCGUAAAGCUCUGUUGUCAGGGAAGAACAAGUACCGUUCGAACAGGGCGGUACCUUGACGGUACCUGACCAGAAAGCCACGGCUAACUACGUG